AGUGAACGCUGGCGGUAGGCCUAACACAUGCAAGUCGAACGGCAGCACAGGAGAGCUUGCUCUCUGGGUGGCGAGUGGCGGACGGGUGAGGAAUACAUCGGAAUCUACUCUGUCGUGGGGGAUAACGUAGGGAAACUUACGCUAAUACCGCAUACGACCUACGGGUGAAAGCAGGGGACCUUCGGGCCUUGCGCGAUUGAAUGAGCCGAUGUCGGAUUAGCUAGUUGGCGGGGUAAAGGCCCACCAAGGCGACGAUCCGUAGCUGGUCUGAGAGGAUGAUCAGCCACACUGGAACGGAGACACGGUCCAGACUCCUACGGGAGGCAUCGGUGGGGAAUAUUGGACAAUGGGCGCAAGCCUGAUCCAGCCAUACCGCGUGGGUGAAGAAGGCCUUCGGGUUGUAAAGCCCUUUUGUUGGGAAAGAAAUCCAGCUGGCUAAUACCCGGUUGGGAUGACGGUACCCAAAGAAUAAGCACCGGCUAACUUCGUGCCAGCCGCCGCGGUAA
RNAcentral lists this ribosomal RNA (506 nucleotides) under uncultured bacterium. RNAcentral describes it as "partial 16S ribosomal RNA". It matches the Rfam family "Bacterial small subunit ribosomal RNA", at positions 29 to 523 of the family's 1533-position model. The record is from RNAcentral.